RNAcentral lists this transfer RNA (68 nucleotides) under Marmota monax (woodchuck). Its description in RNAcentral is "tRNA.Ala". The stretch from base 5 to 65 matches the Rfam family "tRNA", at positions 6 to 65 of the family's 71-position model. From Rfam's summary of the family: Transfer RNA (tRNA) molecules are approximately 80 nucleotides in length. Their secondary structure includes four short double-helical elements and three loops (D, anti-codon, and T loops). The record is from RNAcentral. Lineage: Eukaryota; Metazoa; Chordata; Mammalia; Rodentia; Sciuridae.
GGAUUGUGGCUCAGUGGUAGAGCACUUGCCUGGCAUGUGUGAGGGACUGGGUUCAAAUCUCAGCACCA